GGCUCAGGACGAACGCUGGCGGCGUGCCUAACACAUGCAAGUCGAGCGGGGAUUAUCGAAUGAAGUUUUCGGAUGGAAUUUGGUAAUUCUAGCGGCGGACGGGUGAGUAACGCGUGAGCAACCUGCCUUUCACAGGGGGAUAACGCAUCGAAAGGUGCACUAAUACCGCAUGAGACCACGCUCCCGACAUGAGAGAGGGGUCAAAGGAGCAAUCCGGUGAGAGAUGGGCUCGCGUCUGAUUAGCUAGUUGGUGAGGUAACGGCCCACCAAGGCGACGAUCAGUAGCCGACCUGAGAGGGUGAUCGGCCACAUUGGAACUGAGAGACGGUCCAAACUCCUACGGGAGGCAGCAGUGGGGAAUAUUGGGCAAUGGGGGAAACCCUGACCCAGCAACGCCGCGUGAAGGAAGAAGGUUUUCGGAUCGUAAACUUCUAUCCUUGGUGAAAAUAGUGAUGGUAGCCAAGAAGGAAGCCCCGGCUAACUACGUGCCAGCAGCCGCGGUAAUACGUAGGGGGCAAGCGUUGUCCGGAAUGAUUGGGCGUAAAGGGCGCGUAGGCGGCCUGGUAAGUUUGGAGUGAAAGUCCUUCUUUUAAGGAGGGAACUGCUUUGAAAACUGUCGGGCUUGAGUGCAGGAGAGGUAAGCGGAAUUCCCGGUGUAGCGGUGAAAUGCGUAGAGAUCGGGAGGAACACCAGUGGCGAAGGCGGCUUACUGGACUGUUACUGACGCUGAGGCGCGAAAGUGUGGGGAGCAAACAGGAUUAGAUA
RNAcentral lists this ribosomal RNA (765 nucleotides) under uncultured Bacillota bacterium. Its description in RNAcentral is "bacterial SSU rRNA". It matches the Rfam family "Bacterial small subunit ribosomal RNA", at positions 21 to 784 of the family's 1533-position model. Lineage: Bacteria; Bacillati; Bacillota. The record is from RNAcentral.